This 862-nucleotide ribosomal RNA is filed under the name uncultured eukaryote. RNAcentral's name for it is "eukaryotic LSU rRNA". The stretch from base 489 to 642 matches the Rfam family "5.8S ribosomal RNA". The record is from RNAcentral.
UCAUUAGUGAUUCUUGGUCAUUUAGAGGAAGUAAAAUCGUAACAAGUUUUGCCAAAGAUCCUUCUUGAAGCCUUUCCCACGCAACGACUAUAAAACCCCCUGCGUGCAAGUCUAGAGAUAGGCAACGUCAUCCCCGUGCUGGAACGCGACCCCCGCCGGGGGGGCGCGGAUCAGCAGCCAGGCUUCGCUCCUGGUCCACAGGUUAGGUGGUGGUGGUCCCCAGCAUUCUCCUGCGGGAUCAAGAUAUAAUCGGUCUCCGUCCCCUCUGGUUGGAUGGUUGAGAGACGUUCCGUAGGUGAACCUGCGGAAGGAUCAUUAUCGAGUUAGGGUCCUCUGGGCCCCAUCUCCAACCCUUGCCUAUCUUACCGUGUUGCUUUGGCGGGCCCGUCCGUGACCGUCGGGGGCGUAUGUUCCCCGGCCCGCGCCCGCCAACGGCCCCCACAAAUUCGCUGAGACAGUGCUGUCUGAGUCGCAAAAUCAAUAGUUAAAACUUUCAACAACGGAUCUCUUGGUUCUGGCAUCGAUGAAGAACGCAGCGAAAUGCGAUAAGUAAUGCGAAUUGCAGAAUUCCGUGAGUCAUCGAAUCUUUGAACGCACAUUGCGCCCUUUGGUAUUCCGAAGGGCAUGCCUGUUCGAGCGUCAUUAUCAACCCUCAAGCCCGGCUUGCGGUUGGGUCUCACCGUGGGCAGCCACGGCGGAUCCGAAAGAUAAUGGCGGUGCCCGUGGGACCCUGGAUGCAAUGAGCUUUUCAGCACGCGUCCGCGGGGACCCCCGGCGCCGGCUCAACCAAUCUACCUUGCAGAUUGACCUCGGAUCAGGUAGGGAUACCCGCUGAAUUUAAGCAUAUCAAUAAGCGGAGGAA